RNAcentral lists this unclassified non-coding RNA (390 nucleotides) under soil metagenome. RNAcentral describes it as "partial contains 5.8S ribosomal RNA, internal transcribed spacer 2, and large subunit ribosomal RNA". The stretch from base 1 to 122 matches the Rfam family "5.8S ribosomal RNA", at positions 35 to 154 of the family's 154-position model. The record is from RNAcentral.
GAUGAAGAACGUAGCGAAAUGCGAUACUUGGUGUGAAUUGCAGAAUCCCGUGAACCAUCGAGUCUUUGAACGCAAGUUGCGCCCGAAACCAUUAGGCCGAGGGCACGCCUGCCUGGGCGUCACACGUCGUUGCCCCCCCAUCUACUCCUUCGGGAUUGCGGGGGGCGGAUGAUGGCCUCCCGUGCGCCUUGUCGCGCGGUUGGCAUAAAUGCCAAGUCCUCGGCGACACACGCCACGACAAUCGGUGGUUGCGAAACCUCGGUUGCCCGUCGUGUGCGGUCGUCGCGCAUCGAGGGCUCGAAAAAAUUGUCGGGCUCCGGCUCGGCUUUCAACGCGACCCCAGGUCAGGCGGGGUUACCCGCUGAAUUUAAGCAUAUCAAUAAGCGGAGA